Molecule: transfer RNA, 63 nt
Filed under: uncultured eukaryote
Lineage: Eukaryota
Rfam family: tRNA
About the family: Transfer RNA (tRNA) molecules are approximately 80 nucleotides in length. Their secondary structure includes four short double-helical elements and three loops (D, anti-codon, and T loops).
Source: RNAcentral
GUGUAGCUAAGUGGUUAAAGCUUCAGCUUUUGACGCUGAAAUCAGAGGUUCAAACCCUUUCAU